This is a long non-coding RNA of Capra hircus (goat), 1385 nucleotides long. RefSeq lists it as uncharacterized. The transcript is spliced from 3 exons. The record is from RefSeq and is a predicted model, not a curated record. NCBI's taxonomy places the organism in Eukaryota, Metazoa, Chordata, Mammalia, Artiodactyla, Bovidae.
UUAAAAAGUAACUCGGAAAAACCAAAGACUAUGCUUGGAGAAGGGAAAAAGAAAAAAUCAUCGCUAUCCUCAGAGAAAGGAGAGAAUAUCCCAACCAUGAAAAGGGACAGGAAAUCAGACAUUAAAGAAGACUAAGCUGUGGUUUCCCAAAGAUAAGCAGAUGCCACCAUCACUUCUCAGUCAUUGAACUUGUUCUUCAAAGGAAAUUUUACUGAACUGAACUGAAGCAAAAUAAAUACAGAUGAGAUGCACUAUGCGAAGGCAGAAGUAACAGGUCAGAGCCCCACCCAACGGCUUGCUCAAGAUUUCCAAGAAACCCCGAAGACUCUGCGGAACAUCAUUGAAAACCAAUGAAGAAAAGCCACCCUCCUUUCUAGUUUGAGUAUCAAAAUGUCACAUCCGUCCAAUCUUGUUGACCAUGAAAAUUAAUUUAGGGUCUAAUAUCUGAAUCAAACUUGUCUAAUCUAAAGACGGUCAGCCUGUGGGUAGAAACACCCAACUGUAUAAUGAACCAUAGUGGGAACUUGCCUGGCAGUCCAGUGGUUAAGACUCCUCAUUUCAGAGCAUCGGUUCUAUCCUGGGUUGGGGAGUUAGGAUCCCACAUGUCUCACAGUGCAGCCAAAAAAUAAAUUAACUAAUUAAAUAUAUAAAAUAAGCCUCAACAGUACUUCUGAGGCUCUUCAGUUUCAUCAGCGGCGUACUUUGUUGCUGUUGUCGUUCCCUGACCUGCGUAAUAUGCAGAAUGCUUUCGGAGGUUUUUAAUCACUUUGCCCUCUUCUUUUCAAAAAUGGAGCAAGUAUAACAAAAAGAAAAACAAAUUUACUGAGGUCUAACUGGCAUAUAACAUUCUAUUGGUUUCUAUACCAUGUAAAGGUUUUAUAUUUGCAGAUAUUGUGAAAUGUUCGCCACAGUAAGUCUAAUUACCACCUGUCACUGCACAAAGUUAACUUUGAGGACUUACUCUCUCGGCAGCUUUCAAAUACGCUCUCCACUCUCAUUGACCCUUGUCACCAUCCCAUACUUUAUAUCCCCGUGAUUUAUUUAGUUUGCAACCGGAAACUUGUACCUUCUAAAACCCUUUUCAUGUUUUACUCAUCCCCAACCCUCCUCCCCUUUGGCAACCACUGCUCUUGAACAAGUAUUUUUGAACUUAGCCAUAUAUCAGGAUUGGAGAGGCAGUGGUUGGAAAGACAGACACACCCCUCCCUUAAAAGGAGCCACAUGCAGAAAUACACAGUGCUUAGGAACAUCACGUAAAGUCUAGGCAAGCAUAAAAGAACCCAAGUUCAUUAUAGCCAGCAUUCAUACAACUGUCUUAUCAUUCAAUUCAACAAAUAAUUAUUGUUACCUACUAAAUGCCAUGCUCUAUUUAGAUGGAGGGAGAC